RNAcentral lists this ribosomal RNA (465 nucleotides) under uncultured bacterium. RNAcentral describes it as "bacterial SSU rRNA". It matches the Rfam family "Bacterial small subunit ribosomal RNA", at positions 338 to 795 of the family's 1533-position model. The record is from RNAcentral.
CCUACGGGUCGCACCAGUAGGGAAUCUUCGGCUAUGGACGAAAGUCUGACCGAGCAACGCCGCGUGAGUGAAGGAGGUUUUCGGAUCGUAAAACUCUGUCGUUAGAGAAGAACAAGUAGGAGAGUAACUGCUCUUACCUUGACGGUAUCUAACCAGAAAGCCACGGCUAACUACGUGCCAGCAGCCGCGGUAAUACGUAGGUGGCAAGCGUUGUCCGGAUUUAUUGGGCGUAAAGCGAGCGCAGGCGGUCUUUUAAGUCUGAUGUGAAAGCCCUCGGCUCAACCGAGGAAGGUCAUUGGAAACUGGAGGACCUGAGUGCAGAAGAGGAGAGUGGAAUUCCAUGUGUAGCGGUGAAAUGCGUAGGUAUAUGGAGGAACACCAGUGGCGAAGGCGACUCUCUGGUCUGUAACUGACGCUGAGGCUCGAAAGCGUGGGGAGCAAACAGGAUUAGAUACCUCGGUAGUC